GAUGAACGCUCGCUACAGGCUUAACACAUGCAAGUCGAGGGGCAGCAUGGUCUUAGCUUGCUAAGGCCGAUGGCGACCGGCGCACGGGUGAGUAACACGUAUCCAACCUGCCGUCUACUCUUGGACAGCCUUCUGAAAGGAAGAUUAAUACAAGAUGGCAUCAUGAGUUCACAUGUUCACAUGAUUAAAGGUAUUCCGGUAGACGAUGGGGAUGCGUUCCAUUAGAUAGUAGGCGGGGUAACGGCCCACCUAGUCUUCGAUGGAUAGGGGUUCUGAGAGGAAGGUCCCCCACAUUGGAACUGAGACACGGUCCAAACUCCUACGGGAGGCAGCAGUGAGGAAUAGUGGUCAAUGGGCGAGAGCCUGAACCAGCCAAGUAGCGUGAAGGAGGACUGCCCUAUGGGUUGUAAACUUCUUUUAUAAAGGAAUAAAGUCGGGUAUGUAUACCCGUUUGCAUGUACUUUAUGAAUAAGGAUCGGCUAACUCCGUG
Molecule: ribosomal RNA, 490 nt
Filed under: uncultured bacterium
Lineage: Bacteria
Description: partial 16S ribosomal RNA
Rfam family: Bacterial small subunit ribosomal RNA
Source: RNAcentral